GCUAUUCCAAUUGACGCCAUUUUGAUUUUAAAAUAGUAACAACCGGAAGCACUAGGUAGCCAUUACUGCAUGCGAUUUGUGGAAGGAUAUUGGAUCUUAUAGUUAAAUCGUGGAGUUUAGAAAUUACAGUGACACAUUGUGAAAUUACAGAGUGACUGAAAUUUCCAUAGAAGGUUGUGUACUGGGAUUAUAAAGACUGGAUGAAUGACUGUGAGUUUCAGUUAAGAGAGAGAGAUCAGAGCUGAAGAUUAUUUACUACAUUUUGAGAAAUAGACUAUAGAAGGUAUGAAGUAAGAGUUAUCUUUCAUUAUAAGAAUUACUCCUUCAAUAAUGAGAUUGAGUUACUGC
This is a long non-coding RNA of Saccostrea cuccullata (small rock oyster), 348 nucleotides long. RefSeq lists it as uncharacterized. The record is from RefSeq and is a predicted model, not a curated record. The transcript is spliced from 3 exons. NCBI's taxonomy places the organism in Eukaryota, Metazoa, Mollusca, Bivalvia, Ostreida, Ostreidae.